AAAGGGCUGGCGGCCGAUCCGCCGCCAGCCGCCCGAGGGUGGGGGCACGGCCCAUCAGGUAGUUGGCGGGUUAAAGGCCCGCCAAGCCGAAGACGGGUAGGGGCGGUGAGAGCCGCGAGCCCCGAGAUGGGCACUGAGACAAGGGCCCAGGCCCUACGGGGUGCAGCAGGCGCGAAUACUCCGCAAUGCGGGAAACCGCGACGGGGCUACCCCGAGUGCCGGGCGAAGAGCCCGGCUUUUGCCCGGUCUAAAAAGCCGGGAGAAUAAGCGGGGGGCAAGUCUGGUGUCAGCCGCCGCGGUAAUACCAGCUCCGCGAGUGGUCGGGGUGUUUACUGGGCUUAAAGCGCCCGUAGCCGGCCCGGCAAGUCGCUCCUGAAAUCCCCGGGCUCAACCCGGGGGCAGGGGGCGAUACUGCCGGGCUAGGGGGCGGGAGAGGCCGCCGGUACUCCGGGGGUAGGGGCGAAAUCCGUUAAUCCCCGGAGGACCACCAGUGGCGAAAGCGGGCGGCCAGAACGCGCCCGACGGUGAGGGGCGAAAGCCGGGGGAGCAAAGGGGAUUAGAUACCCCUGUAGUCCCGGCCGUAAACGAUGCGGGCUAGCUGUCGGUCGGGCUUAGGGCCCGGCCGGUGGCGAAGGGAAACCGUUAAGCCCGCCGCCUGGGGAGUACGGCCGCAAGGCUGAAACUUAAAGGAAUUGGCGGGGGGGCACCACAAGGGGUGAAGCUUGCGGCUUAAUUGGAGUCAACGCCGGAAACCUCACCCGGGGCGACAGCAGGAUGAAGGCCAGGCUAACGACCUUGCCGGACGAGCUGAGAGGAGGUGCAUGGCCGUCGUCAGCUCGUGCCGUGAGGUGUCCGGUUAAGUCCGGCAACGAGCGAGACCC
This 881-nucleotide ribosomal RNA is filed under the name uncultured Thermoproteales archaeon. RNAcentral describes it as "bacterial SSU rRNA". It matches the Rfam family "Archaeal small subunit ribosomal RNA", at positions 173 to 1053 of the family's 1478-position model. The record is from RNAcentral. Lineage: Archaea; Thermoproteati; Thermoproteota; Thermoprotei; Thermoproteales.